AGUGAACGCUGGCGGUAGGCCUAACACAUGCAAGUCGAACGGCAGCACAGUAAGAGCUUGCUCUUACGGGUGGCGAGUGGCGGACGGGUGAGGAAUACAUCGGAAUCUACUUUUUCGUGGGGAUAACGUAGGGAAACUUACGCUAAUACCGCAUACGACCUACGGGUGAAAGCAGGGGAUCUUCGGACCUUGCGCGAUUGAAUGAGCCGAUGUCGGAUUAGCUAGUUGGCGGGGUAAAGGCCCACCAAGGCGACGAUCCGUAGCUGGUCUGAGAGGAUGAUCAGCCACACUGGAACUGAGACACGGUCCAGACUCCUACGGGAGGCAGCAGUGGGGAAUAUUGGACAAUGGGCGCAAGCCUGAUCCAGCCAUACCGCGUGGGUGAAGAAGGCCUUCGGGUUGUAAAGCCCUUUUGUUGGGAAAGAAAAGCAGCAGGUUAAUACCCCGCUGUUCUGACGGUACCCAAAGAAUAAGCACAGGCUAACUUCGUG
RNAcentral lists this ribosomal RNA (491 nucleotides) under uncultured bacterium. RNAcentral's name for it is "partial 16S ribosomal RNA". It matches the Rfam family "Bacterial small subunit ribosomal RNA", at positions 29 to 507 of the family's 1533-position model. The record is from RNAcentral.